RNAcentral lists this ribosomal RNA (926 nucleotides) under Aureonarius armiae. RNAcentral describes it as "LSU rRNA". It matches the Rfam family "Eukaryotic large subunit ribosomal RNA", at positions 42 to 953 of the family's 3401-position model. Lineage: Eukaryota; Fungi; Basidiomycota; Agaricomycetes; Agaricales; Cortinariaceae. The record is from RNAcentral.
AUCAAUAAGCGGAGGAAAAGAAACUAACAAGGAUUCCCCUAGUAACUGCGAGUGAAGCGGGAAAAGCUCAAAUUUAAAAUCUGGCAGUCUUUGGCUGUCCGAGUUGUAAUCUAGAGAAGUGUUAUCCGCGCUGGACCGUGUACAAGUCUCCUGGAAUGGAGCGUCAUAGAGGGUGAGAAUCCCGUCUUUGACACGGACUGCCAGGGCUUUGUGAUGCGCUCUCAAAGAGUCGAGUUGUUUGGGAAUGCAGCUCAAAAUGGGUGGUAAAUUCCAUCUAAAGCUAAAUAUUGGCGAGAGACCGAUAGCGAACAAGUACCGUGAGGGAAAGAUGAAAAGAACUUUGGAAAGAGAGUUAAACAGUACGUGAAAUUGCUGAAAGGGAAACGCUUGAAGUCAGUCGCGUUGUCCAGGGAUCAACCUUGCUUUUGCUUGGUGUAUUUUCUGGUUGACGGGUCAGCAUCAAUUUUGACCAUUGGAAAAAGGUCAGGGGAAUGUGGCAUCUUCGGAUGUGUUAUAGCCCUUGGUUGCAUACAAUGGUUGGGAUUGAGGAACUCAGCACGCCGCAAGGCCGGGUUUUUUAACCACGUACGUGCUUAGGAUGCUGGCAUAAUGGCUUUAAUCGACCCGUCUUGAAACACGGACCAAGGAGUCUAACAUGCCUGCGAGUGUUUGGGUGGAAAACCCGAGCGCGCAAUGAAAGUGAAAGUUGAGAUCCCUGUCGUGGGGAGCAUCGACGCCCGGACCAGACCUUUUGUGACGGUUCCGCGGUAGAGCAUGUAUGUUGGGACCCGAAAGAUGGUGAACUAUGCCUGAAUAGGGUGAAGCCAGAGGAAACUCUGGUGGAGGCUCGUAGCGAUUCUGACGUGCAAAUCGAUCGUCAAAUUUGGGUAUAGGGGCGAAAGACUAAUCGAACCAUCUAGUAGCUG